GUAUCAACAGGACAGCUGCGGGGCCCAGAAGGACUACGUCAUCCCAGUCUGAGCGACUUCAUUAAGAGCCCGUCCCACUUCCCCAGAGCCGGGAGACACCCUUCUCACCCCGACUGCGCCAUGGCCGUCAGGCUCCUCUGCUAUGUGGCCCUUUCCCUUCUGGGUGCGGGCCUCACAAAUGCCGAUGUUAACCAGACCCCAAGAUAUGCCGUCAUAGGGACAGGAAAGAAGAUCACUCUGGAAUGUAAUCAAACCAUGGACCAUGAGAGCAUGUACUGGUAUCGACAAGACCCCGGAAUGGAACCCCAGCUGAUCCAUUAUUCACACGGGGUUAACAUCACAGAGAAAGGAGAUCGCCCCUCCGAGUCCACUGUCUCCAGAAUAAGGAAGGAUCAGUUUCCCCUGACGCUGGAGGCCACCAGCCCCUCACAGACAUCUAGAUACUUCUGUGCCAGCAGUGAAUGCACAGCACUGCGCAGGCACUUACAGACAGCACAAAAAAGUUCAUCACAAAAGUGAGGAAGCCCCAACUUC
Vicugna pacos (alpaca) is the source of this 534-nucleotide non-coding RNA. NCBI's taxonomy places the organism in Eukaryota, Metazoa, Chordata, Mammalia, Artiodactyla, Camelidae. The record is from the annotation of a RefSeq genome assembly.